GCGGGUAUGGUGUAAUGUAAACACGUCGGUCUCCAAAACCGAAGAUAGAGGUUAGAUUCCUCUUACCUGUGCCA
RNAcentral lists this transfer RNA (74 nucleotides) under Veillonella sp. RNAcentral's name for it is "tRNA-Trp". It matches the Rfam family "tRNA". Rfam says of the family: Transfer RNA (tRNA) molecules are approximately 80 nucleotides in length. Their secondary structure includes four short double-helical elements and three loops (D, anti-codon, and T loops). Further hydrogen bonds mediate the characteristic L-shaped molecular structure. tRNAs have two regions of fundamental functional importance: the anti-codon, which is responsible for specific mRNA codon recognition, and the 3' end, to which the tRNAs corresponding amino acid is attached (by aminoacyl-tRNA synthetases). tRNAs cope with the degeneracy of the genetic code in two manners: having more than one tRNA (with a specific anti-codon) for a particular amino acid; and 'wobble' base-pairing, i.e. permitting non-standard base-pairing at the 3rd anti-codon position. Lineage: Bacteria; Bacillati; Bacillota; Negativicutes; Veillonellales; Veillonellaceae. RNAcentral also lists the same sequence under 1 other name. The record is from RNAcentral.